RNAcentral lists this ribosomal RNA (428 nucleotides) under Chloroflexota bacterium. Its description in RNAcentral is "Chloroflexi bacterium partial 16S ribosomal RNA". It matches the Rfam family "Bacterial small subunit ribosomal RNA", at positions 355 to 775 of the family's 1533-position model. Lineage: Bacteria; Bacillati; Chloroflexota. The record is from RNAcentral.
UGGGGAAUAUUGCACAAUGGGCGCAAGCCUGAUGCAGCCAUGCCGCGUGUGUGAAGAAGGCCUUCGGGUUGUAAAGCACUUUCAGCGGGGAGGAAGGCGUUAAGGUUAAUAACCUUGGCGAUUGACGUUACCCGCAGAAGAAGCACCGGCUAACUCCGUGCCAGCAGCCGCGGUAAUACGGAGGGUGCAAGCGUUAAUCGGAAUUACUGGGCGUAAAGCGCACGCAGGCGGUUUGUUAAGUCAGAUGUGAAAUCCCCGGGCUUAACCCGGGAAUUGCAUCUGAUACUGGUCAGCUAGAGUCUUGUAGAGGGGGGUAGAAUUCCAUGUGUAGCGGUGAAAUGCGUAGAGAUGUGGAGGAAUACCGGUGGCGAAGGCGGCCCCCUGGACAAAGACUGACGCUCAGGUGCGAAAGCGUGGGGAGCAAACAG